UCACCCUCUCAUUGUAUGUCACCGCACUAUAUACACGCACGUCGUCAGCAUUACCACUGUGAAGGGCCCAUUAGUAAGCAUAAUUGGUAUUACAAAAAACGUCAGGUCGAGGUGUAGCAAACGAGAGGGGAAGAAAUGGGCUACAUUCACUGCCCCAGUGAAUACGGAUGAUGCACUGAAACAAACAUCUAAAGGAGGAUUUAGCAGUAAGAAGGGAAUUAGAGCAUCCCCCUGAAACUGGCCCUGAAGCGCGCACACACCGCCCGUCACUCUCCCCAACCUAAAAUUAAUAAUAAAUAAAUAACUAUAAAGACAAAGGGGAGGCAAGUCGUAACAUGGUAAGUGUACAGGAAGGUGCACUUGGAAAAA
This 369-nucleotide ribosomal RNA is filed under the name Trypauchen vagina (Indo-Pacific burrowing goby). RNAcentral describes it as "partial 12S ribosomal RNA". It matches the Rfam family "Bacterial small subunit ribosomal RNA", at positions 971 to 1525 of the family's 1533-position model. Lineage: Eukaryota; Metazoa; Chordata; Actinopteri; Gobiiformes; Gobiidae. The record is from RNAcentral.